AAAGGUAUAGCUCAGUGGUAGAGUGCAUGCUUAGCAUGCCCAAGGUCCUGGGUUCAAUUCCCAGUACCUCCA
This 72-nucleotide transfer RNA is filed under the name Camelus bactrianus (Bactrian camel). It matches the Rfam family "tRNA". From Rfam's summary of the family: Transfer RNA (tRNA) molecules are approximately 80 nucleotides in length. RNAcentral also lists the same sequence under 2 other names. The record is from Rfam by way of RNAcentral. Lineage: Eukaryota; Metazoa; Chordata; Mammalia; Artiodactyla; Camelidae.